RNAcentral lists this ribosomal RNA (253 nucleotides) under uncultured bacterium. RNAcentral's name for it is "partial 16S ribosomal RNA". It matches the Rfam family "Bacterial small subunit ribosomal RNA", at positions 524 to 776 of the family's 1533-position model. The record is from RNAcentral.
UACGGAGGGGGCUAGCGUUGUUCGGAAUUACUGGGCGUAAAGCGCACGUAGGCGGCUUUGUAAGUUAGAGGUGAAAGCCUGGAGCUCAACUUCAGAAUAGCCUUUAAGACUGCAUCGCUUGAAUCCAGGAGAGGUGAGUGGAAUUCCGAGUGUAGAGGUGAAAUUCGUAGAUAUUCGGAAGAACACCAGUGGCGAAGGCGGCUCACUGGACUGGUAUUGACGCUGAGGUGCGAAAGCGUGGGGAGCAAACAGG